This 399-nucleotide ribosomal RNA is filed under the name uncultured archaeon. RNAcentral describes it as "bacterial SSU rRNA". It matches the Rfam family "Archaeal small subunit ribosomal RNA", at positions 1 to 400 of the family's 1478-position model. The record is from RNAcentral.
CGCCCUCUGGUUGAUCCUGGCGGAGGCCAUUGCUAUCGGUGUCCGAUUUAGCCAUGCGAGUUGUACGUUUACCGUAGCAAACUGCUCAGUAACACGUGGCCAAACUGCCCUAUGGACCGGAAUAACCUCGGGAAACUGAGGCUAAUUCCGGAUACCACAUUCAUCCUGGAACUGGAGAAUGUGCGAAAUGCUCCGGCGCCAUAGGAUGUGGCUGCGGCCGAUUAGGUAGACGGUGGGGUAACGGCCCACCGUGCCGAUAAUCGGUACCGGGUCAUGAGAAGUGAGAGCCCGGAGACGGACUCUGAGACACGAGUCCGGCCCUACGGGGCGCAGCAGGCGCGAAACCUUUACACUGCACGACAGUGCGAUAGGGGGACACCGAGUGCGAAGGGCAUAGAG